This 510-nucleotide small RNA is filed under the name Pongo abelii (Sumatran orangutan). RNAcentral's name for it is "retained intron". Lineage: Eukaryota; Metazoa; Chordata; Mammalia; Primates; Hominidae. The record is from RNAcentral.
ACUAGCUAGCUUACCUUCUCUCCUUGCAGGGCUGGGGAGCGGCCGGAGCUUUGCCGAGUGUCCCUUCCUGAGUUCCAGCAGUUCCUUCUUGACUACCAGGGGGUAUGGCUGGGCUGACAUUGGCCCAGGCUGUCAGGUUGUUGGGGGCUGGGCUCAUCCCUGACUGGAGGCUUCUCUCAUCCCCUGCCCUCCCUACCCCAUCAGGAGCUGUGGGCUGUUGAUCGCCUCCAGGUGCAGGAGUUCAUGCUCAGCUUCCUCCGAGACCCCUUACGAGAGAUCGAGGAGCCAUACUUCUUCCUGGAUGAGUUUGUCACCUUCCUGUUCUCCAAAGAGAACAGUGUGUGGAACUCACAGCUGGAUGCAGUAUGCCCGGACACCAUGAACAACCCUCUUUCCCACUACUGGAUCUCCUCCUCGCACAACACGUACCUGACCGGGGACCAGUUCUCCAGUGAGUCCUCCUUGGAAGCCUAUGCUCGCUGCCUGCGGAUGGGCUGUCGCUGCAUUGAG